UUUUGCUAGCAUGUUCAAGUCGUACACGUUUGUACCCACUUCGUUUCAGGGAUGUUAAAUGUGCUAUGCUACUUAUUUAUUAUAAGCACAUUUAUUCACUGUACAAUUAAACACCAUACAUGUAUUACAUCAAAUCUUAUCAUUAUUUACAUGAACGGUAUUUGUUUGGAUCGUGAAAUUAUGCGCUGAGCAGUAUACCUAUCUUCAGCAGCUUAAUGAAAUGUGUAAAUUUUGUCAAAACGUAAAAAAAAAAACAAUUUCAAUGAUAGUUUAGGAAACAUAGCAAUUUCCAGAAGAUGACAAAAUUAAAAAAAAAACAUUAAUGCCUAAGCAUUAUUCAAAUAGAAAAUACUGACUCCAGAUACGCAUUUCGUGCCUUCUUAACCACCUUCGGAGUUGCUAAUACCCGAAGCUUCUUGGUGGCAAGACCACUUGCAGUUGUUCUUGCGGGUGAUGAUUCCUCAUGGUCAUUAAAACAAACACCACCCUUAGUAAGGACUGAGUUGGUCCCAUGCAUGUCAUCUCUAUCAUUAUCGUCACCAUCCUGCUUGAACAGAAACAUAUACCAUUAUUUGUAUACUAAGUA
RNAcentral lists this long non-coding RNA (586 nucleotides) under Brassica rapa (field mustard). RNAcentral describes it as "long non-coding RNA (BRAP_LNC004497)". Lineage: Eukaryota; Viridiplantae; Streptophyta; Magnoliopsida; Brassicales; Brassicaceae. The record is from RNAcentral.